AUGGAUACAUUGUCUUUGUAUGCAGGAUUUCUUUAUAUGCGAAGCUGGAUAUGAGGGUAGAGCGGAUGUGGUGGCUACCGUGAGCUGUAAGAAGCUCAUCGUGGACAAGCAAUACGACGCGAGCAUCCAGGCCAUCAUAACUUUCCACGCCUUCGUCCUUGGAGAGAAGAUGAUUCCUUAUUAGUGUGUUGCACAUCCUAAGUGCUGGGUUAGAUGAUGCAAAGGUGGUGCUCCAACGAAUGGGAUGAGGCGCACAAUGCUAACCGAAAACGACGUUUGAUGAUGCAAGGUCCCUCCCACCAACAAGGCAACCGCAGUCUCAACAAAUACUCAGAAGCAUGGUCGGCGUCACAUGGUGACCAGCCUUGCUCCAUCUUCUCGGUGUAUGGUAUGGCCCACUAGGGCAAGGCGACGUCCGACGUCACCUACAACUCAGAGGACGAGCCCGAGGCGUAUAGAACCUCGUCGUCCACCGCUGCCUCAGUGAGUAUACCGCCAUGGUAAAGGAGGUCCAUGGGCCAGAUUACGAUUCAAGGACCGAGGACAUUGAUGGAGAUGUCCUCAUGAGGGUCGGAGGAGGCAAGAGGCAUGGAUGGUACUGGAUUGCCGCGGGCAAUCGACUCGUCCUCCACUCUCACUUUGUCUCUAGUGCGAUCAAGGAGCACGAGCACGAACCCAUCCAUAGGACCUCGGCAAGACAACUCACAUCAUCACAUACAUGAACUCCAAACUCAGCAAGAAGAAGAGAGGAGGCAACAUGAGUAGUUGGAGGCGAGGAUGAUGGCCGAGCAGACGACUCACUUGGCCUAUCAACAGAGGAUGGCGGAGAUGUUUCAGUACAUGUAGAGCCUUGGCGGCGGAUUAGAAUCAAUCGACGGCAUCAAACAACCCUCAUGGUUCGUCCAGUCCUUCGUCGAACCAGUCCAACCGCCCACCUCGCUGAUCUUCCGUCACUUAGUGGUGAAUUGUGAAAACUAUGUUUGUGAAACUUGUGAUACUUAUGUUUGUGAGUGUUGGUAAUACCUAUGUUUAUGAAACUUGUUGAUGUUGGUAAUACUUGGUCUGAACUUAGUGAUGUUUGUGAAAAACUUGUGAGAUUUGUGGUCUUUGUGAGAUAUGUGGUCUUUAUGAUGUAUAUGAUGAUUCUGUGAACUCUAUGAUGUAUAUGUGAUGAUAUA
Zea mays is the source of this 1178-nucleotide long non-coding RNA. RefSeq lists it as uncharacterized. The transcript has 5 exons. Lineage: Eukaryota; Viridiplantae; Streptophyta; Magnoliopsida; Poales; Poaceae. The record is from RefSeq and is a predicted model, not a curated record.